GUGAGGCUUGGGCUGUGAGAGGCCUCAGGCUGGGGUGGGGCUUGACCUGGAUGGGGCUGAAGUCUGCUGUGUCUCAAGCCAAUGGGGUGACAUCAUCCUGAUGCCCUCAAGGAAGCCCCAGGGUUGGGCCCAGAGCAGGGACUGUCACCAACGAUGCUCCAAUUUGGUGCUGAUGCUCCCGGUGAAGACAGCAGCAGGAUCCAAGGUCCAGGUUGUUUUUUUAAGACAGAAAGAUGAGCGGCACAGCCGAGUCUUGGAGCAGACUGAGCUGCCUAAGCACGGAGGAGCCACUGGAGAGAAAGCUUGUCCGGUGGCGGCGGUGCCAUCCUCUGGGCCUGCCACUGUUCGGGGAAUGGAAACACCAGCCCAAAGCAAACAAAAUUGACAAGGAAAACCUACUGCUAAAACUCUCCAGAGCCACACGGAUGAGCAUCAGGGACGGCGUUUCCUACUGUGGCCUAGGAGCUCCGGUCCUCACAGUGGGAGAUGCAGGUCAGGGAUGUGGUUAAAGCACAGACUCUAGAGCUCGGCUUCCGGGUCCCAACCCCUGCUCUGGAACACACUAGCCAUGUGACCUUGGCUCUCUCUACCAGGACAUCAGCCCCACGAGUGCAGUGUCAUAGCUUCGUGUCUCCUGCCAAAUUCGUAUGUUGAAGUCCUAACCCCCAGCACCCCAGGAUGUGACCAUUUGGGAGAAAGGAUCUUUACAGAGGUAAGCAUGUUAAAGUGAGGCCAUUUGAACCUGAUCCAAUAUGACUGGUGUCCUUAGGAAGACGGGAAAUUAGAAGACAGACAGACACAGGCACUGGGGGAAUGCCAUGUGCAGAUUGCGGUGAUGCUGCCGUGAGCCGAGGAACCACCGGGAGCUGGGGAGAGGCUUGGCACAGAUCCUCCCUCACAGCCCUCGGAAGGAACCAGCCCUACUGACACCCUCAUCUUGAACUUCCAGCCUCCACAAC
Long non-coding RNA from Eptesicus fuscus (big brown bat), 959 nucleotides. RefSeq lists it as uncharacterized. The record is from RefSeq and is a predicted model, not a curated record. The transcript has 3 exons. NCBI's taxonomy places the organism in Eukaryota, Metazoa, Chordata, Mammalia, Chiroptera, Vespertilionidae.